GCUAGCUCUGGGGAAGGAAACGGGUGAAAGGGGAGGGUGUAAGCGUGAUACGGAGGCAGUGGGGUUAAAGGGUGCGUAGGGGGGGUGGUAAUGUAGGGGUGAAAUCACAGAGCUUAACUUGGGAACUGCCAUUGAUAGUAUCAGGCAUGAAUACCGUGGAGGUCAGCGGAAUAUGUGAUGUAGCGGUGAAAUGCUUAGAUAUGACAUAGAAGACCAAUUGCGAAGGCAGCUGGCUACACGAAUAUUGACACUGAGGCACGAAAGCGUGGGGAUCAAACAGGAUUAGAUACCCUGGUAGUC
Molecule: ribosomal RNA, 300 nt
Filed under: uncultured Sulfuricurvum sp.
Lineage: Bacteria; Pseudomonadati; Campylobacterota; Epsilonproteobacteria; Campylobacterales; Sulfurimonadaceae
Description: bacterial SSU rRNA
Rfam family: Bacterial small subunit ribosomal RNA
Source: RNAcentral